Molecule: ribosomal RNA, 253 nt
Filed under: uncultured bacterium
Lineage: Bacteria
Description: partial 16S ribosomal RNA
Rfam family: Bacterial small subunit ribosomal RNA
Source: RNAcentral
UACGUAGGGGGCUAGCGCUGUCCGGAUUUAUUGGGCGUAAAGAGCGUGUAGGCGGCCAGAUAAGUCCGCUGUGAAAUCUCGAGGCUCAACUUCGAGCUGUCGGUGGAAACUGUCUGGCUAGAGUCCGGAAGAGGAGAAUGGAAUUCCUGGUGUAGCGGUGAAAUGCGCAGAUAUCAGGAGGAACACCGGUGGCGAAGGCGGGUCUCUGGGCCGAAAUUGACGCUGAGGAGCGAAAGCGUGGGGAGCAAACAGG